This 73-nucleotide transfer RNA is filed under the name Schistocephalus solidus. It matches the Rfam family "tRNA". From Rfam's summary of the family: Transfer RNA (tRNA) molecules are approximately 80 nucleotides in length. The record is from Rfam by way of RNAcentral. Lineage: Eukaryota; Metazoa; Platyhelminthes; Cestoda; Diphyllobothriidea; Diphyllobothriidae.
GAGCCUCUGGCUCAAUGGUUAGAGCGCUGAACUUCUGAUCAACAGGUCGUGGGUUCGAGCCCCAGGUGGUUCA